This 14804-nucleotide long non-coding RNA is filed under the name Coffea arabica (coffee). Its description in RNAcentral is "long non-coding RNA (CARA_LNC004114)". Lineage: Eukaryota; Viridiplantae; Streptophyta; Magnoliopsida; Gentianales; Rubiaceae. The record is from RNAcentral.
UUUCUUUCUUUUUUUUUUUUUUACUUAAGGUUCAAGGAGUUUCCGUUUGAAUACAAUUAGACUCUUGUGUGAAUGUAUUGAUGAAGUUGGAAAAUGUUAGAAACAUAUCAAAACUAGGAUCCAAAUUUCUUCUAACUUUUAUGUUUAACCAGUAGUUCGCCAAUGUCCAAAACACCAGGAAAGAGCUCAAGAUUAGAAUACAGAUGAAAAACGGUCAUAUAGCAUAAAAUAUGGUUUUAAUGGAGCAACUUCUACGGAAUCCUGGUUUGAUAAUCCAUCUCUACCAUAACUUGCCGGGCUGUCUCAGUGGUCUUGAAUUCAGUUCAUUGCCAAGAAGACUUAACGAGGGAUGCAGGUUAGAAAUGAAGUCUAUAAAUAGCUCCCAAUAGCUAUGGGGUCCAGUGUGCCUUCUCAAUUUCAUCCUCUAUUUUCACUCCAGUAUCAAGGAAAUUUGCAGCCUCUGUGCGUUUGUUUCUUUGAACUACCAAGAAAUGGCUUUAAAAUUCAGUUCGAAGCUUAUUGUUGUUGCAUUUCUGAUGCUGGCAAUGUUGGCUUCUCAGCCAUGUCCCGCAACUUGAAUCAUGAAGCCUCAGUGAUCGGAAAACACGAGCAGUGGUGCGGCAGCAGAAGCGUAGGAAACAAAAGGGUUUCACGAACACCCUCCAAACGAGAAUUAUUACUCGAGCGAAAUCUAGUCAUGAAUCAUAGAUUCAUAAAAAUCAGAGAAACUUUCACAAUUAAUAAACACCAACCAACGACAUAUUUAUUUUGGAGAAAAGUCUGAUAAUUACAAAUGCCCUAACUAUGCCUAUUUAGAGGUUACAAUGAGUUCUACUCUAAAAAGGAAACAAGACACACAUAAAACCCUAAACCAACAAAACUAUGUAUAUUUUGGCUGGAAGCAUGGCUGGCUCUAUGUCAGAACCAAUGAUCACCACCCAUCUUAGUGGCUCUACAACCUAAACAGGAACCAGAACAUGAUGGGCAAUCUGAUGGGUCUUACGUCGGGUGCCCUACUCGACUUGAAUCAGCUCCAAUCACAAUCUUUCUUCCUUCUCCACACAAUUACAAUCCUUAUUCAUAAAAUCAAUAAGAAAACUAAUAAAAAUACUACUAAAAACACUAUGACUACCCAAUUAUUCAAUCUAAUUAACCUUCUAGGUAGCCCUACUGAUACGGAUUGCUGGGUUAAGGAACCAAGGGUUCCUCAAACCGUAUCAAGUGGAUGGCUCAUUACGGAUGUGUUUACAAGGAUGAGGUCGAGAAGGCUGACCGAUACAAGAUUUUCAAGGACAAUGUUGAGUUCAUUGAGUCAUUCAACAAGGCUGGGACUAAAUCUUACAAGUUCGGGAUUAACCAGUUUGCUGACUUGACCAAUGCGGAGUUCAAAGCAACACGCAACAAGUACAGGAACCUUGUUCAGGUAUGAACAAGUGAGUGCAAUUCCAGGUUCCAUUGACAGGAGAAAGAAGGGCGCAGUCACAGGAAUUAAGGAUCAGGGCCAAUGUGGUAAGCUAUCCUAGUAUUGCAGUUUGUCUUUCAAUUUAUAUACAUUUGCCGAACAAUUCUCUCCAAAGGACUAACUGUGGGUAACCCUUUUGUUCACAAAAAUGCAGGAUGUUGCUGGGCAUUUUCAGCUCUUGCAGCUUUAGAAGGGAUUCCCGGCUCAAAACUGGUAAAUUGAUCUCAUUGUCUGAGCAAGAGCUAGUGGAUUGUGACGCUGCUGGUGAAGAUCAAGGCUGCAAUGGAGGUCUCAUGGAUGAUGCAUUUACCUUCAUAAUUAAAAACAACGGUCUCACUACUGAAGCCAAUUAUCCAUAUCAAGCUGUCGAUGGAACUUGCAAUACUAACAAAGAAGCUAGCUCCGCUGCCAAAAUCACUGGAUAUGAAGAUGUCCCUGCAAACAAUGAGGCUGCACUUCUGAAGGCUGUAGCCAACCAACCUGUAUCAGUUGCCAUUGAUGCUAGUGGCUCUGCCUUCCAAUUCUAUUCAAGCGGCGUUUUCACCGGGGAUUGUGGAACUGAACUAGACCAUGGUGUGACAGCAGUUGGAUAUGGUACAAGCUCUGAUGGAACAAAAAUAUUGGUUGGUCAAGAAUUGUUGGGGAACUAGCUGGUGUGAGAGUGGAUACAUCCUGAUGCAGAGAGACAUUGAAGCCAAAGAAGGUCUCUGUGGCGUUGCCAUGCAAACUUCUUACCCUACUGCCUAAGAUCAAGGUUGUGUCUGCUGUGUCUGUGUAUACGAGUGUUUUGCGCGUUUCUCAUAUUAUUGUUGCAAUCUUUAUCAUUAUGUCAAUCAUACAUGUUGUGACAUCUAACUAGCCAAAAAAACGAAACAACACAAAGGAAUUUGGAACUCCAGAAGGAAGGAUUAAUUUGGAACUUGGAAGAACUGCUUCAGUUAUGUCUCCUUUUGGGCUUUGGUUGCAUGUCGUUUUCCUAAUUCCUUUUGGAGCUUAAGGUAGGUGGGCGAUAAAUUGGAUGAAAAAGGAUUUUUUAUGUACUUUUUUCUGUCCCUUGCCAUGUUAAAUGGUCUUGAAAUAGAUUGCAUCAAGAAGCAUUAUCUUUUUUCUUUUUAAAUUUUUUCCAUUUGCUCCAAGUGUUCUAAACUUUGUUUUUUUUUGGGGGGGGGGGGGGGGGUUGGGGUGUUCGCCAUUGGACUAAAACUUGAUUUAGAUAUAACGAAGCUUCAGGAAUUUUCUCCUUUUCCGCCGUUAUAAUAUCAAGAUCAGAGUAAUUUUCCUUGCCGUAUAUGUCUGUUUGACGUAAUUUACAUAAAAGAUAAUGUUAAAUGAUAAUUACCAAUGAUAAUGAUUAAAGUAAUUUUUAAACCAAAGAGGCCCUGGUCUAAUGACCAAAGAGACCUUGGUUAAUUCUCUAACAAUUAAGGUCUUCGGUUCAAAUCCCUCUAUUUCCUUCAUACUUUAUAAACCUCACCUUCUUGCUAAUUAUUUUAUAAGGUAGGGAAAAAUUCAAAAACAUAUUUGUUUUAAAAAGUAGGAUUACAUUUGAUAAAAUUGAAAUUUGAAUCCAUUAAAUGAUCCUUCUUGGUAAUUUUUUUAAGGGAGGGAAAAAUUCAAGAACAUAUUAGUUAAAGUGUAAGGGUGUGUUUGAUAAAAUUGAAAUCUGAAUCUAUUAAGUUACUGGAUUGUUAAGUGCUAAAUUUGAUAUAUUGGAGUAUAUAUUACAUUAAGUGAUAAAGUAAAUAACUUAUCACUUAUUGUUUAGAGCAAAUUUUGGUUAGAAAAUUCAGCACUAUUUAAUUAAUUCACGUGUUUUUUUUAUUAUCAAAUACAUCUAAACAUGUUAAGAUCUGAAUCCAUUAAAUUUAAGUGAUGAAUUGGAUUAUCAAAUAGGGUUUAAGUUUUUUAUACAUUGUUAGUGAAUGUGUAUGUGUAGAUAUAUAUAUAUAUAUAUAUAUAUAUAUAUAGUGUCAACCUUCUUGCUACUUGAUCUCAAGGUAGGGAAAAAUUAAAGAACAUAUUAUAGUUAAAGAGUAAGUUUUCUAUACAUUGUCAGUGUAUAAUUUUUUUCAUGCUAGCAUAUUCACCUUUCUUGCUAAUUUUUUUUUUCAAGGCAAGGAAAACUUCAAGAACAUAUUAGUUAAAAAGUAAGUUUUUGAUACAUUGUUAGUGUACAAUUUUUUUCAUACUAGCAAAUUUUAAACAUGCCAUAUAACACGAAUUCAAAUUUGAAAUUCAAUAAUGCACAUGUGUUGAUACAUCUAUAGCUACUAUUAUUAAAAAAAAAAAUCACUGCACUAUCAGUGCAUAAAAAGUGAAUCCUUAGUUGAAGUACAACUAUGCUAACAAAAUAAACCAAAGCUUUGGAGAUUUUUAUCUAAUUUCUUAUUGUUUUAUUAGUGUCAAGUUUUGGAUAGUUUUCUAUCUGAGUUGAGAAGUUUUUUAGGUAUUUAUUUAUGUGGUUGUACUCUUAAGCACCAACUCUAGUGGCUUAUGUAGAGAGGGGCCCGUACGGUUCAGGACUAGUACGACUCAAUGUAGUUGGUGUACUUUUUACAUUAUUUAGUAUAUAAUUACAUUAUAUCAUUGUACUCAAGAUAAAGGUGAUAUAUAUAAAUAAAAUAUUUGACAUAUAUUCAAUACAAUAUUAUGAUAUAUUAGUACAUAAAAAAUUUAAACAUGUACAAUAACUAGAUGGAACCGUAUAAAGCACAAUUGUAUCUGAGUCCUUGUCUAGACUUACAUACACGUGAGUAAUCGCAACGGAUCUUUUGUCCCAAAUCCUGUCUCACACCCUAUCCCAUUUUUUCUAAUCUUGCCAAGUGUCCCAUGUUAAACUGCCACACUAUUGCACAACGGAAGGUCAAUUGGGUCUGUUUCAAUGGUGAAGCUAAUGACGAGAGGACAGAUGUUAAACUGAGUUUUAGAGCUUUUUUUAAUUGAUUAUUGUGAUUUUGUGAGAUAGUUUUUAUUUUAAUCGGUUUUGGUUGCAGAGAUUUAAGAUUUUCUGUCCGAUUAAUUGAUUAAUCAAUUUAACAUGGUUCAGGUUGGGUUGUUUGACAAUUUGAUUUAUCAAGGGACACUUGGCAAAAUUAGAAGAAGUGGAACAGAGUGUGAGACAGGAUUUGAGACAGAAAAUCCGUUGUGGUAUUGAUCAAAGUAUUUGCUUAGGAUAGUCUAGAGAGUCCUUAAGCGCCAACUCUAGUACGUAUAUAUACGCGAUUAUUGGUUACUUGAGAAUUCCUGGGGAACGCAUUGGGGUGAGCAUGGAUACAUUACCAUGUAUGCUUCUUAUCCGACUGCUUUAGUAGAGGAUUCGUGAGUCUUUAAGUGAACCAUCGCUUAAUGGUCGAGAGUGUGACAUGGGAACAACUGGUUUAUAAUAUUCUUUUUUUUUUUUUUCCAGACGGAGGGGUAUCCGGGCCAUCUGGUAAAUCGAACCCGACUAAUCCCCUGACCCGAGAGAAGAUGCCCCGUCCUCUCGAACACGUUAACCCUGAGACUCGAUCCUUGAUGGAGGAGAUGGACAACGACUGUUUAGGAGAUGUCGUGACCAAACGAGCUGCCCAGGAGGGGCAACUGGUUUAUGAUAUUCAAUAAGAGGAAAUAUAUAAAGCAGAGCAUAUCCUGCUUUUACAAUAGAUCUAUAUAUAGAGAAUAAAAAAUAUAUAUAACAGCAUCUGCUAAUUGUUUUUGCCACUUAAAAGUCAAUUCCUUAGAUGAAAAAAGACAUGUGAACUAAAUGGCUACGGAUAUUUCAACAAAUUUGAUAGGAAAAAGAUGACAAAAUAUCAAUGUCCACCAGGGCUGACAAAAUAUCAGUUAAUUAAAGUUUAUGAGGUUGAUCCCGAUGGCAUGUCGACCAGGCCACAAAGACUAAAAUGCAAGUACCUCUUAAACUAUACUAUUUUUUUGGUAUGAAAAUUUGAGGUACUAGAACUCAUUAAACUUUUAGCAUUUUCACAUGAUAAACCUCAAAAAGGGGGAAUGUAUGAAGUUAAAAGUGGGGUGCAUAAUUCAUUACCAAAAAUGAAUUACAAGUUCACGCAAAUAUUACUAAUUCUUCCUUUCGAGUUAGACUGGUAAUAUUUCUUUUCUCAGCAUAUAUGGGCAGCACCAAAAAAAAAAAAAAAGACUAUUCCUCCAAAAAAAAUAAUAAAUAAAGAAGAAGAUCAUACUUCACUAAAGAGACCAAACAUCAUUUAUUGUGGCAAAAACAAGAAACAAUACAUGUUGAGCUGAUAAAGGCUAUAUGAGAUACGUAAUAAAAGGCACUGCAUCACAAGACAAGAUGCUAGUUUCAUGCUUAUAACAUCAGACCGUGAUAUAUAGAAAAAGCAGAAUUGCUUUCUAAUUAAUGAAGCACCAGCAAUUAUUUCAACAUUUAAACUAUUCUAAGCAGUGGGAUAAGAAGCCUGGCUGGCGAUGCCACAAAGGCCUUCUGGAGCACCAGUGUCUCUCUGAAGGCGCAUGUACCCAUCCUCACCCCAGCUAGUUCCCCAGGAAUUCUUAACCAACCAAUACUUGGUUCCAUCCUCACUUGUACCGUAUCCAACUAGUGUCACGGCAUGGUCCAAGUUAUUCCCACAAUCGCCGGAGAAAACGCCGCUUUGAUAGUUUUUGAAGUCCAUGCCGCUGCCUUCAAUGCCAACUGAUACGGGUUGUUUAGACACGGCCUGCAGAAGAGCAUCCUCGUUAUUCUGAGGGACAUCUUCAUAACCUGUGAUCCGGACAGCUCCUUGGUCGUUAUUGCAAGUGCCAUCAGCUCCUUGAUAUGGGUACUCGGAUUCAGUGGCGAGGCCAUUGCUAGCAAUGAAAUUAAAUGCUUCAUCCAUGCGACCUCCACUGCAGCCAUGAUUACUACUGGUAUCACAGUCAACAAGCUGUUGCUCAGACAGCGAGAUUAGCUGACCGGCUUUGAGUUUAUGAAUUCCUUCUACGGCUGCAACAGCUGAAAAUGCCCAACAACAUCCUGCAUUUUCAUUAUCCAAAGGGGUUUUUCAUCCUAAUUAGCCCAACUUCAUAUAGACAUUUUGGCAUGGAAAGCAUAUACUAAUGGUGGUCAAAUAUUGGACUUACCACAAGCUGCCUGGUCCUUGACUCCAGUGACAGCACCUUUCUGUCUCCAGUCCGUGGAAGGCGGAGCGUCACUGACAUCUGCAUACCUGAAUGAAGUUCCUUGAGAUACGUCUUUCCUUGGUUUGUAGUUGUACCCAGUGCUGGCUGAUAGGAACUCUUCGUUUGUCAGGUCAGCAAAUCGGUUAAUGCCCAACACGUAAGACUUGUUCCCAGCCUUGUUGAAGGCCUCAAUGUACUCCACAGUUUCCUUGAAAAUCUUGAAUCGCUUUGCCUUCUCUGCCUCAUCCUUGUAAACCCGUCCGUGUUCAACCAUCCACUGCUCGUGCUUUUCAGUCAAUGAGGCUUCAUCCAAGCUGCGGGCCGUAGCUUGAGAAGCCAACAUCGCCAGCAGUAAGAAUGCGGCAGUAACCAGCAUAGAAUUGAAUGUCCAAGCCAUUGUUUGAUUAAGAGCUCAAAGAAACAAGUGAAUGGAAGAAUCUGAGAGUAUAAAGCCAAUAAAUUAUGGUGCAAAAGAUUUGAAUGGGAAGCCACACUGCUUCCAUUCAGAAUACCAGCUAGCUAUUUAUAGAUUUCAGUUCGGAAAGCUGAGUUAAUUAUGACCAAAUUUCCAUCGUUUUGGUCCUAGAAACUCUGGCAAAAUUAUGCCCUAGAUUGAUGGGCAAUCAGAAGCUCGGUUGGCAUGCGUGAGCGUUGGUUUUGGGGCAGACGUAGGAAGUAUUUGUGAUACUCUUUAUCAAACUAUUAAGAAUUAGUUAUAUGUGAUACUCUUUAGUGAAUGGUCUAUUUAGAAACAACUUUAUUCCCCUUUUCUUCUAAUGAAACCUAUCCUGAAAUUAUGCACUAUUUCUUACUUAGACAUUUGUACCUUAUGCUCUUGCAGUUUAUCUUAUAUUUAAGUAAUUGAAGAAAUAUGAAACUAAAAAAUAAUAUAAUAUAUUGAAAAGCGGUGAGGUGUCUUAAAAUAAAAAAUGUUUGCAUCUUUCACAUUUGGAAACAUCUAUAUAUGACUACACUAAUAUCAAAUCAGGUGAUGCAAUGUAUCCAAAAAUUGGAGUUUUGAAUGCAACGUUCAAAAUAAACACGAGUUAAGGGUAUAAUUCAACUUGAUUUUUUUAGGUAAAUAAUAAAGAAAAGUACAACAGAUGGGGAUGGCAAACCCGUCUAUUGUCCUCAUCAAAAGCAAAGGAUACUUCACGGGGACAUGAUUCAAUAAACACAAAGUAUCUAUCCAGAUUACAUCCCAGUAUAGCUAGUGGUGCAUCAGCACAUCCCAGAAUCACUUUAGUUGAACAAGAAGAUGCCAUCGAAGUCUAUGCAGCAAGUCCAGUCGGAGAAGUUGAUAAACUGCCGGAGUUCAUUCUUCCCCGUCGAACACUCUUGUGCUCCGCGAUUGGUAAGGGUAAGGACAAAAAUUGAUGGCUGUUCAAGACCUGUAAUGAGCAAGACCUCAGUAAUUUGUAAACCAAGAAGCUGAUUCGCUAAUGAAGUCUAUGCGGCAAGUCUUGCAGAAGAAGUUGAUGAAGUUUCGAUCGGAGUUCAAUCUGCCCCGCGGAACAUUCAAGUGCCGCCGCAAUUUGUGUAAGGAUUAGGACAGCAGAAGUUGAUGGCUGUUAAAGAAAUGUAAAGACCGGGACCUCAAGUAAUUUACUGCAGUGUAACGGCGAAGACCUCGAAAUUCAUGUCCCAUGCAGCAAUUUCUGUGGAAUUGAUAAAGUCUCCAUUAGAGUUCCGUUCGGAACAUGCCAAUGGCGGAGUCAGGACCCUAGAGUUAGGGCGUCAAUUUACGAUAGCACGAUAAUAGUAGAGUUUAAAACCAAUAAAUAUGUCCAUCUUAAAAAUUCAUACUCUCCUAUGGUAAAUAUACUUUUUUUUAAUUUAAAUUGCGCUUAAAAUUUAUAGUGAAAAUUACCUUUGAAUUAACAUUUUUGGUAAGUCUAACACUCUUGUGAAGGGUGAUGAUUAUAAUUUUUUAAUUAUUUUUGGGAGCUAUGUAUGAUAGGAAAGGGAUUUUUUAAAAUUUUAGAAGGGCAAAUAAGUAACGAUAUUAGAAAUUUCUGAACUUUCUAAGCUUAAAACAUAAUUUUCUCAAAAUUGAGGGGGUGCAAUUGUUCUCCCUCAACUAUAUGUGGCUCCACCGCUGAAACAUGCAAGUGCGACCGCGGUUACUAAGGCCGACUUGCAAGGACUAGAGCAGCAAAAUGUCACGCAGAGAGUGAAUUAAGUACCGAACUUUAUUUUAGUUUUAGUCUAUUUGAGUAAAUUCCUAGGGUUGAAAGAGAAAUGAAAUUACUUGAUUCUCAAAAUCAUCUCCAUGAGAAAAGAGUUUGGUUUGCUAACUAAUCAAGUUAAUUAUAAAUAGUAUUUUGUGCUCAGUAAAAUUUUAAAUUUAACUUGAACUUGAUUCAAUCAGCAUAAAACUUGAAAUUUAUGUGUAAAAAAACUCAAGUUACUAUAAAUUGAUUCAAGCUUGACUUGAUUAAAGGUUAUUUUAGUUCAAUUUUUUGAUAAGCAAAUAUGCCAAAUUUGAACGUAUUGCUGAACACAUUAAAAUAAAUAAACAAAAUUAAACACUGAAGUGUUUGGGUUGAGUAGACUCAUUUACACUUGUAUAAAUGAUGCCAUUAGUAAUCCUUGAAAUUAAGUUCCUCGUGCUCUUAGUUAAAUCCUCAACUUUUGAAUGUGUCAUCUUGGCUCUAAUCUUUUCAAUUUUCAAGCCAAAUUCAAGUUUUUUUUUCCAUUUUAAUUGCCUUCCUUGGGUUUGACUUGAUGUCAAUUUAGAAAGUAGGCAAACAUUUUUGCUGCCUCUUAUGGUUUUAUUUAAAUUAAUUAGUGUUUAAGGUACAUAAUAUAUGCGUGCCGGUGAUUAAAAUUAUGAUCACUUGUAAAUAUUUGUCACAAAAAAUGUUUUUCACUUGGAAAAUAUUUAUGGUGAGGGUUUCUUGUAUUGUGUUCACUUAUUUAUUUGGUAGUUGCUAACGUAAUUAAAAUCUCUACAUUAAGCUCUUAAAAAUAGGAGGCUGGGGAAGCAAUCAAUUCACUAAAUUACCCUUGAAAUUAUUAUUUCUGUAUGUGUAGAAAAGGUAAAUACUCUUACUAGUGAAGAUAUUACAAGAAGUUUAAAAAAUGGCAAAUAUGUACUGGCACCACAUAGUGGACUCCUCCUUUGUGUAUUGUGUAGACUAGGUUAGUCUAACUGUGGAAGUCACAGCCGAAAAUUUUAUUUUAAUUCAUACUCUCUUGCAUAAUUGCAAUGUUUCUAAACUCGGACUGGCCAGUGAAUCGGAGAAGGGAGCAGUUCACGGUCCGACCGACCGAUUUAUCGGUUCAUUGAUAUAUAUAUAUAUAUAUAUAUAUAUAUAUAUAUAUAUAUAUAUAUAUAUAUAUAUAUAUAUAUAUUAUGCUUGCAACUUCAGUACUAAGCACUCACAGUCACAGGUCGUCACUCUACACUUGAACUUGACGACUCAUGCACAAUCCAACAUAGUUAUUGAUAACUUAAGUCCUUAAAAUGCAUUCAUCAACACAAUUUAAAACUAAAUUUAAGUUGAGAUAAUAAUAAAAUUUCUAAAAUAUAUACAUGAAAUGGAAUGAUAAACAUAACCAAAAUUUCUAAACCAAGUUGGACUGUCUGCAUCAAUUAAAAAAAAAAACCACCUAUUUUGUACUUGUACUCCCCCAACAAAGCAAAAAGGGUACAAACCAGAGAUUUUUAAAAAAAAAAAAUCGAAGAAAGAAAUAAUAGUUAUAAAAUGAAACUAAAAUUAAAAAAAAAAACUAAUGGAAUAAAUUCAUACCUUGAAGACCUUCACUGGAUUGGUCAAUGGCACUGCCAACAAAACAAACCCCAGUCAAUGAUGAUUGCCUGGCUUCGAGUUAUCUUUAUCUAUAAACAAAAAUAGACAAAAAAGGACGAAUUCAUGUAAAAAAAUAAAAUAAAAUAAAAAAGAAACUAGAUUACUAGAUUAGUGCUUCUUUAGAUUUCCUUCAAAAUUUACCUGUGCAUUACACGAACUGCAACUCUGCAACUGAGCCAAAGAAAUCAUACAAAAAUAGUUCAAUUCAUGGCCGAAAGGCUAAAAGGAGAAGAGGGAAAAGAAGAUAGAGGAGGAUGAGCCGAUGAGGAAGUAAAGCAAAACAAAGAAAUAAGAGCCGACGUGUCUUAGUCGCUAGUGCUGGGGUUUCUCUUUUUUAAUUUAAUUUUUAGUUUUUCACUAAAUAAGUUAAGUAGAUUUAUACACAAAAUACGUUUGUCCUGUGGUUGUAGUCUAACGGUAAGAAAUCCUUCUUGUUGCCUUAAGGAUUACGGUUCAAAUCUUAGUGGUUGCAUUCUUGAAAUUGUUUUCAUUUGAAAAUUUUUAAAACUGCCGGUUCACUGUCUAAACGAGGAUUAGGGUUCAAAUCUUAGUGGUUGCAUUCUUGAAAUUGUUUUCAUUUGAAAAUUUUCAAAACCGCCGGUUCAUUGUCUAAACGAUUUUUCACAGUUUGUCCAGUUCACUUGGUUUCUAACGAUUUUUCAUUAAUCUCCGGUUUUAGCAUUAGACCGGACCGUUGAAAUGUCCGGUUUGCAGUGCAGUCCAAUUCUGAAAACAUUGCAUGAUUGUGGUACCAAUUAGCUGAAAACAACCGAUUUGAGGAACACUUAUGGAGAUAAUUUUACACAAUGAAUUGUAAGGUAACGGAAGAAAAUCAAAGACUCAAAAUCUUAACCCCUUAACUAGUCUCCAUUAUUACGUUGGCAGAUCCAUAACAUAUUGUAACUGUAACUACUUGGCUAACUAAAUCAAGACUGUCGGGCAUACUCUCCAAGCCCAGACAACUAGAUGUAAUCGAGAGUUUGCUAAAAAUGCUUAAAAACUAUAAUUUUUUUUCUUGUUAUCAAAUACAUUUGAAUAUGUUAAUAUCUAAAUUCAUUAACUUUAAAUGCUAAAUUGGGGUUUUCAAAAAAGGCCUAAGUUUUUUUUAUGUACUAUCAGUCAGUGUUUUCAGAACCGGACCGGACCGGCCGGUUCAACCGGUUGGACCGCGAACCGGACAGGCCAACGGUCCGGUCUAGAGCUAAACCCGGAGAGUAGUCAAGAACCGCUGGAAACCGGAUGACUCGGACGAACCGGAAAAACCCGCUUAGACCGUGAACCGGCGGUUUUUGAAACUUUUCAAAAUGAAAUUCCAAAUUGUAGCUGCCAAGAGUCAAACACCAAACCUUGUGUUUGUUAUAAGAAGCCCUUACCACUGAGCCAUAGGCAGCGGACAUGAUUAUUUUGUGCAAAUAUCUACUUAACUUAUUAAAUGAAAAACUAAAAACACCCUAAACCUAAGAUACAUCAAACUUAUUUCUUUGUAUAUAAAACAUAUAUAAAUGCAAAGAUAGUAAUAAUUGUUAGUAUAUGUAUAUAUAUAAUAAAUUAGGUGUAUUAAAUGUGUUAGGACAACCGUUAAAAAAAUCCUUUAAUAAAAUAGCUUUUUCAAAUUAUUUUUUAAAUUUUUGUAGAAAAUGUACGACAACGAUUUAAUAUGUGUAGAAUAAAAAUAAUCAAGAAAUAAAUUUGUGAAAAAAUAAAAAAUUAAAAAAAAUGACAAUCUAAUUUGGUAACUAAAUUGAAUUGUUUAGAUAAGUUAUUGUUUUCAAAAAUUUUAAUUACAUCAAAAACACUUGUGCUUUACAUCACAAAUAUAUUGUUGGUAUAUCUAUGUUUGUUAAUGUACUCCCCUUGAUUAUUAAUGUAAUCCCCUUGAUUUUUUAAUUUGUGAAAAUAAAUAAAAAUACUUAGACUUUUAAUUUCAGUUACAAUCUCACAAUAAAAUAAUGGUUGAAAUGCAAUAAUAGAUAGAAAGAUUGAGUAGGGAUAUUCUUGCUCAAUUGACAUUGUAGACAAGUAUUUAGGAAAAAAAUUGAUAAGUAAUUAUUAUUUUAAAAAAUAUUUAUAAUUACAUUGUACACAUUCGUACUUUACAUCAUGACUCCUUGAUUUUUUUUUUUAAUUUGUGUGAAUAAACAAAAUACUUAAAAAUUUUAAUUUCAAUUACAAUCUCAAAACAAUAUCGUAGGUAGUAACAUUGAAUAAGGAUAUUGUUACCUAACUGACUGGUAAAUAAAUAUUAAAUAAGGGAACAUUGAUAAAUAAUUGGGCGCUAAUAACAAUUUUCUAGUGGACAAAAAAUGUGAAUAUGGAGAAUUUUUUUUCUUUCCAAUGAAUAUGGACUGAGUGAGAAAGUCAAAUGGCCGAAUUGAAAACACAAAUUUGAAAAAAGUUAAAAAAGAAUUAUUUUUUUAACCCAAAUUAUUUAAUGCUACAACCACUCACUUUUAUCUCAUUUUUUGUUUCUUAUCAAGUUUGCAUUUCUAUUUUCGAUUCUCUUGACUUCCUUCGAACUCCAAACUUUCUUUUUUAAAUUGCAAUCUCUAAAUCCCAGAGGCAUAAAUUUAAAAUUUAAGUUUACAAUGUCAAAUCCUCAUAGACGUGAAUUUUGUAUAAUUUCAAAAUAUUGUGAUAUUUUUUGGAUAGAUUUAAGAUUAUUUUGGUAGAUAUAAUUGAAAUUGAAAUGAAAUUUAUUUGUUUUAACUUAUAAUUUAAAAAAUUUAUUUUUGAAAAUCCAAGUUAUUCAAAAAUAGUAAACUUUUCAUCAUAUAAAGUUUUAAAUUAGUCUAUUGCAUGUCUUAUUUUGUGCAUAUAUAUAUUUAUAUAAAUUAUUUUUAAAAAAAUUCAUUGAACCGAGGUUGAACCGGUCCGACCGGUUGAACCUCGACCCUUUCACUUCGCCGGUUCAAUUGACGGUCCGGGUUUUAAAACAUUGCUAUCAGUGUGUAUUUUUUAUUUUUUUUUACAUUAAUAGGUUUACCCUUCUUGCUAAUUUUUUUUCUUAAGGUAGGGGAAAAAUUCAAAAACAUAUUAGUUAAAGAGUAAGUUUUUAUACAUUGAAUCUUAAACCUCAUCCUUCUUGCUAAUUUUUUCAAAGGCAAGGAAAAAUUCAAGAAAAUAUUAGUUAAAGAGUAAGUUUUUUAUACACUAUCAGUGAACAAUUUUUUUUUCUUUUUACACUAGAAGAUUCACCCUUCUUGCUAAUUUUUUUAAGGUAGGGAAAAAACUCAAGUUACAUAUUAGUUACAAAGUAAGUUUUUUGAUGCAAUGCAUUGUCAGUAUAUAAUUUUUUUUUUUUUUACACUAGAAGAUUCACCCUUCUUGCUACUUUAUCUCAGGGCAAGGAAAAAUUCAAUAGCAUAUUAGUUAAAGGGUAAGUUUUUAAUACAUUGUUAGUGUACAAAUUUUUUCAUAAUAGCAUAUUCACCUUUCUUCCUAAUUUUUUUGUCAAGGCAAGGAAAACUUCAACAACAUAUUAGUUAAAGAGUAAAUUUUUUAUAUACUGUCAGUGAACAUUUUUUUUACACUAGCAUAUUUAGAUCAUGCCAUAUAAUAUAAAUUCAAAUUUGGGAUUCAAAUCAUUCACAUAUGUGAUGCAUUUAUAACUACUAGUGUUUAAAAAAUCACUACACACAUGUGAUGCACUUAAGAAGUUUAUGAGGAAUUUAUCUGUGUGGUUGUUUUCUUAAGCACCGACUCUAGUGAAUUAUAUGGAGAGGGCUAGUGCAGUCAGGUACAGUUCAGUCCGGUUAUUGUAUUUAUUAUAUUAUUUGAUGCGUAAUUACAUUACAUUAUUGUAUUCAAGAUAAAAUUAAUAUAUAUGAAUAAAAUAUUCAACAUAGUACAAUAUUAUGAUGUAUGUGUACACUACAAAUUUAAACAUGUACACUGAACGGACCAAACCGUACAAAAACACAAUUGUAUUGAGUCCUUGUCCAAAUUUAUAUAUACGCGAGCAACACGAUAUUUAUCAAGGUAUUUUGUUAGGAUAGUCUAGCGAGUUCUUAUGCACCAACUCUUCUGACUUGCGCGAUUAUUGGUUACUCAAGAAUUCUUUCCCGUUAUUAUGAAUUCUUCCUUUCCAGUUAGACUGGUAAUAUUUCUUUUCUCAGCAUAUAUGGGCAGCACCAAAAAAAAAAAAAAAAACUAUUCCUCCAAAAAAAAAAUAAUAAAUAAAGAAGAAGAUCAUACUUCACUAAAGAGACCAAACACCAUUUAUUCAGGCAAAAACAAGAAACAAUACAUGUUAAGCUGAUAAAGGCUAUAUGAGAUACGUAAUAAAAGGCACUGCAUCACAAGACAAGAUGCUAGUUUCAUGCUUAUAACAUCAGACCGUGAUAUAUAGAAAAAGCAGAAUUGCUUUCUAAUUAAUGAAGCACCAGCAAUUAUUUCAACAUUUAAACUAU